This 451-nucleotide ribosomal RNA is filed under the name uncultured bacterium. RNAcentral's name for it is "bacterial SSU rRNA". It matches the Rfam family "Bacterial small subunit ribosomal RNA", at positions 350 to 793 of the family's 1533-position model. The record is from RNAcentral.
AGCAGUGGGGAAUAUUGCACAAUGGGGGAAACCCUGAUGCAGCCAUGCCGCGUGUGUGAAGAAGGCCUUCGGGUUGUAAAGCACUUUCAGUAGGGAGGAAGGUAGUGUAGUUAACACCUGCACUAUUUGACGUUACCUACAGAAGAAGCACCGGCUAACUCCGUGCCAGCAGCCGCGGUAAUACGGAGGGUGCGAGCGUUAAUCGGAAUUACUGGGCGUAAAGCGCAUGCAGGCGGCCUGUUAAGUCAGAUGUGAAAGCCCGGGGCUUAACCUCGGAAUUGCAUUUGAAACUGGCAGGCUAGAGUCUUGUAGAGGGGGUAGGAAUUUCAGGUGUAGCGGUGAAAUGCGUAGAGAUCUGAAGGAAUACCAGUGGCGAAGGCGGCCCCCUGGACAAAGACUGACGCUCAGAUGCGAAAGCGUGGGGAGCAAACAGGAUUAGAUACCCUGGUAG